UUGGAUUAUCUAAACACAACCUCUUGUCUCUCUCAAUAUCACAACCCUAUCUUUCUUUCGUGAUUGUUCUCUUGCUCGAUUUCUAACUCGGUGGUGCCGUUUUUCUGCAACGAUAAGAUAAGGCUGUUUAUACAGUAUUUAAAAAAAAAAUAGAGGUUGUUGCAAGCAAAGGUAGUUAUAAACCGCUAUGUUGGAGUCGACAAAUCCAAACACAUGAAAGGAAUAUAGCCUUGACAUGAUAUUGAUGGAUGAUAUAAAUAAAUUAACUGUUAUUGG
RNAcentral lists this long non-coding RNA (276 nucleotides) under Daucus carota (carrot). RNAcentral describes it as "long non-coding RNA (DCAR_LNC000093)". The record is from RNAcentral. Lineage: Eukaryota; Viridiplantae; Streptophyta; Magnoliopsida; Apiales; Apiaceae.